RNAcentral lists this long non-coding RNA (325 nucleotides) under Panax ginseng (ginseng). RNAcentral's name for it is "long non-coding RNA (PGIN_LNC013899)". Lineage: Eukaryota; Viridiplantae; Streptophyta; Magnoliopsida; Apiales; Araliaceae. The record is from RNAcentral.
CAAGCUUCAAAUUCUAUCCAAGGUACUGUCAUGCGUAAUAGUCACUCGGGAUUGUAACUCCUCGGUUCUUGUGGGACAUCGUUGGAUGUAUGUAUGUAUGAUGUGUUGACAUGACGCACAUGUGUUGAAGGGGCAAGAUGAUGUUUGACUCUUCACUGGGGUUAUUGCCGGUUUGAGUUGAAAGAAGACGUUGCUCAGGGUUACAUCUGAGAUUGGACUACUUGUUGGCAUGCUGCGAUAUCAUCUUGUGAGAGAAAACGUUGAGGCUGUAAAAUGACGUGUGACUUCUCACCGAGGUUAUCUCCAGUUUGAGCUGAAAGCAGAC